Clupea harengus (Atlantic herring) is the source of this 503-nucleotide long non-coding RNA. The record is from Ensembl. NCBI's taxonomy places the organism in Eukaryota, Metazoa, Chordata, Actinopteri, Clupeiformes, Clupeidae.
CAUUAAACUUGAACAUUCAUUCACGACAAUGACGUGUGUGUGUGAGAGCAGUGGACUCUUCAGGGUAAGGGAGGUGUGUGUGUGUGAGUCAGUGGACUCUUCAGGGUGAGGGAGGUGUGUGUGUGUGUGUGUGUGUGUGUGUGUGUGUGUGUGUGUGUGUGUGUGAGAACAGUGGACUCUUCAGGGUAAAGGAGGUGUUGGUGUGUUGGUGUGUGAGUGUGUGUGUGUGUGUGAGUGUGUGUGUGAGAACAGUGGACUCUUCAGGGUAAGGGAGGUUAUGAGGUUGUAGUUGAUGGUUGUCGUUCUUCCUAUGCAGCUGUCUGAAAAUUGAAAUUAGGAGAGAGAUGGAGAGGUGGAGAGGUGGAGAGAUGGAGAGAUGGAGAGAUAGAGAGGUGGAGAGGUGGAGAGAUAGAGAGAUAGAGAGAUGGAGAGGUGGAGAGGAGGAGAGGUAUCUCUCUCUCUCUCUGUCAGUCUGUCUCUUUCUAAAUGGCAAAUUCAAAUUC